RNAcentral lists this ribosomal RNA (497 nucleotides) under uncultured bacterium. RNAcentral describes it as "partial 16S ribosomal RNA". It matches the Rfam family "Bacterial small subunit ribosomal RNA", at positions 28 to 507 of the family's 1533-position model. The record is from RNAcentral.
GAUGAACGCUGGCGGCGUGCCUAAUACAUGCAAGUCGAGCGAACAGACGAGGAGCUUGCUCCUUUGACGUUAGCGGCGGACGGAUGAGUAACACGUAGGUAACCUACCUAUAAGACUGGGAUAACUUCGGGAAACCGGAGCUAAUACCGGAUAAUAUUUCGAACCGCAUGGUUCGAUAGUGAAAGAUGGCUUUGCUAUCACUUAUAGAUGGACCUGCGCCGUAUUAGCUAGUUGGUAAGGUAACGGCUUACCAAGGCAACGAUACGUAGCCGACCUGAGAGGGUGAUCGGCCACACUGGAACUGAGACACGGUCCAGACUCCUACGGGAGGCAGCAGUAGGGAAUCUUCCGCAAUGGGCGAAAGCCUGACGGAGCAACGCCGCGUGAGUGAUGAAGGUCUUCGGAUCGUAAAACUCUGUUAUUAGGGAAGAACAAACGUGUAAGUAACUGUGCACGUCUUGACGGUACCUAAUCAGAAAGCCACGGCUAACUACGUG